UUGGAAGUCCUUGGUCCCUUCCACCAAUGAUUAAGUGCUGGCUGUGGGCAGACUGGCUCCUGGGGAGGGGAGGUGGGCUCAGCAGGUGGCCCUGGUGUAGGGUAACCUUCAGCCUGGCACACCUGGGACAGCCUUGGAUGUUGGGGCCACUAACCUGGCACAUAAGCCCCUUCUCUCUCCCAGUGCACCGGCUGCUGACCCAUGCCCUGGGCCACACGGCCCUGCCGGGCCUGCUCCUGAGCCUGCUGCUCCUGCCUACUGUGGGCUGGCAGCAGGAGUGCCACCUGGGCACGCUGAGAUUCCUGCAUGCCUCAGCCCUGCUCGCCCUGGCUUCUGGGCUGCUGGCAGUGCUGCUGGCAGGCCUUGGGCUGUCCAGUGCAGCCGGCAGCUGUGGAUACAUGCCUGUCCACCUGGCCAUGCUGGCUGGGGAGGGACACCACCCUAGACGGCCCCGUGGGGCACUGCCACCGUGGCUGCCGCCGUGGCUGCUGCUUGCCCUGACCCCACUGCUCAGCUCUGAGCCACCCUUCCUGCAGCUCCUUUGCGGCCUCCUUGCUGGCCUGGCCUACAGAUGCAGCUGGGGCCUUCCGGUGGCUGGAACCCUCAGAGCGAUGGCUGCAGGUGCUGCAGGAGGGCGUCUUGUGCAGGACCUUGGCGGGGUGCUGGCCCCUGAGGCUCCUUGCCACCCCGGGCAGCCUGGCGGAGCUGCCUGUCACCCAUCCUGCCGGAGUGAGGCCUCCCAUCCCUGGACCGCCUUAUGUGGCCUCCCCUGACCUCUGGUCCCACUGGGAAGACUCAGCCCUGCCCCCACCAAGCCUGAGGCCUGUGCAGCCCACCUGGGAGGGCUCC
This 849-nucleotide small RNA is filed under the name Pan troglodytes (chimpanzee). RNAcentral describes it as "retained intron". The record is from RNAcentral. Lineage: Eukaryota; Metazoa; Chordata; Mammalia; Primates; Hominidae.